AGCUCCAAUAGCGUAUACUAAUGUUGUUGCAGUUAAAAAGCUCGUAGUCGGAUUUCAGUAUUUGAAAUGCAGCUCUACCAGAGUCAGCAUAUCGAUACUUCUUUGACAGAAACUUUCAUCUCCUUUAUUGGUGGUGUUUGGGGACUGUCUCUUUUACUUUGAGAAAAUUAGAGUGUUCAAAGCGGGUUAUCGCCAGAAUAUUACUCUUGGAAUAAUACUAUAGGA
This 225-nucleotide ribosomal RNA is filed under the name uncultured eukaryote. Its description in RNAcentral is "partial small subunit ribosomal RNA". It matches the Rfam family "Eukaryotic small subunit ribosomal RNA", at positions 587 to 827 of the family's 1831-position model. The record is from RNAcentral.